This 1929-nucleotide long non-coding RNA is filed under the name Homo sapiens (human). Its description in RNAcentral is "HSALNT0228120". The record is from RNAcentral. Lineage: Eukaryota; Metazoa; Chordata; Mammalia; Primates; Hominidae.
GGCUGAACCUGGAAAUCAAACUCUGCUGCUGCCGGCUCGUUCCAGAGAGAGAUGUUAUCUUCAAGAACCUGAUUAAUGUUCGGAAGGAAAAGAAAGCCAACCCGUGUCAUUCAGCAUCUUGGUCUUUCACGCUGGGACGAUAGGGGAAAGCGGGUCAUUUUUAUCAGCGUUGGGUGCGGAGAGGUGAUCAGGCCCUGCUGGAAUAAUAGAGCUGCUGCUUUACAAAAUGUUUGUGAAAACGACAUGAAAUGGAGGCAUCAGCAGCUUGAGUUGCAGCCUAAUGGAAACCCAGCAGAGACCACGACAAAGGCAGAGGGAGAAGAACAGAGUAAGACUGAAACUGUGAUUGAUGGAGAACUAGCAGUCACUCAUAUGAGCUAGGAAAUGGGGCUAUUGGGUGAUUUUUGUGGCUGGGACAAUGUUCAUGUCUUUAUCUGCCUUCAGGAGUAGUGUUAUUUUGUCUUGAUCUAUCACGGUCUCAGGAUGGCCUUGUCUGAUGCCGGCAAUCUGCAAAAUUGUUUACAUUCAACAGGAGAACACUUUGGCCAAGCUGUGAGUGUCAAGCCAGCUCCCGGCUGCCAGGGGCAGCUUUUCUCUUUCUCACAGUGUAGGAAGUAAUUUAUAUACUUCUUUUCUGCCCAUAAGUAAUUACUAAAUCUGCAACUAUAGGGACCAGUCCUACCCAUUUUAGUCUUCCCUGCGGGGCCCACCAUGAUGCUUUGCAUACUGAACGUGCUCUGGGAAUGUGCCCAGUGAACUAAAUUAUGGGCACAGAGAACUCUCUGGGACUUGGCAUUAUUAAGAUCAUGCUGAAGUAUAUUUUCAAAAUUUAAAAUGUGACUCAUACAAAUGUGGAAUGAACACUUGUCAAAAAAUUUAUUUAACCCAUUAAUGAGGGAACCAGUAAAAUGGUAAAGCUCGCUCCAAGGGCAUUUAAAAAGUGGACUCAUCAGCAUCUUUAAUGAAAACCUUAGCAUAAGAUUGCUAAAUUCGAGAGAAAUCUGGUUAACAUGCUAUAAGGGCAAUAAAACCAUAACCUUUAAUGUCGUCUUUUUUCUACUGGACAGAAAUCUACAAGUUAACGUGUAAUUUCACUAUGUCAGUGCUCUAAUCAAAUAAUAAAUAACAAAGUCAGAUACAUGUACUCUCUCCAAGAUAAUUAAUCAUCCGUGGGCAGGUCAUUAAGCAGUGCCUCAGUAUGACAUGGAAAAGACAUUCUUCCUUAUUUCCAAUUUUUAGUUAAUUUUCAUUUAAGAAUCAUAACAAAAGACUCUUUUGUGGCUUCUUAGGAACAUAUUCAACUGAAAUUUUUGUUUUAAUUGUGUUUUAGAGACAGGGUCUUGCUCUGUGGUCCAGGCUGGCAUGCAGUGGUAUAAUCAUAGCUCACUGCAGCCUUGACCUCUCAGGUUUAAGCAAUCUUCCCACCUCAGCCUCCUGAGUAGCUGGGAUUAUGGGUACACACUACCAUGCCCAGCUCAUUUCAAAAUUUUUUGUAGAGAGGAGUUCUUGUGAUGUUGCCCAGGCUGGUCUCAAACCCCUAGGCUCAAGGAGUCCUCCUGCUUCGACCUCCCAAAGUGCUGGGAUUAUAGGAUUGAGCCACUGUGCCCAGCCUGAAAUUUUUCUAAUGCCCACCUCACACCUGGCAAUUCCCCAGGUAUCAGCAGCAGCAGUAGCAUCCUGCUGAUACGGACAGGCGGCAGAAGGACAGGGUCCCAGGUGAGGGCUCCACCCUCAAGCCUGGACCUGCAGCCCUAAAUGAGAACAGGCAUUCCUGUUUUCACACCCAAAUGUUGCCUUUUCCAAAACCGCUCUGGACCACCCUGCCCCCAUCCUAUGCCCUUAAGAACCCCAAACCCCAGGCUCCACAAUCAGAAUAGCACCAGAGUGGCGUGGCAGAGAAGGAGAGAAGAGAAGAAGUGUCUGAACAUC